RNAcentral lists this ribosomal RNA (468 nucleotides) under uncultured bacterium. Its description in RNAcentral is "partial 16S ribosomal RNA". It matches the Rfam family "Bacterial small subunit ribosomal RNA", at positions 28 to 507 of the family's 1533-position model. The record is from RNAcentral.
GACGAACGCUGGCGGUGUGCUUAACACAUGCAAGUCGAACGGUAAGGCCCUUUCGGGGGUACACGAGUGGCGCACGGGUGAGUAACACGUGAGUAACCUGCCCUCAUCUCUGGGAUAACAGUCGGAAACGGUUGCUAAUACUGGAUAUGAGCUUGCAAGGCAUCUUGUGGGUUGGAAAGAUUUUUUUUGGUUGGGGAUGGACUCGCGGCCUAUCAGCUUGUUGGUGAGGUAGUGGCUCACCAAGGCUUCGACGGGUAGCCGGCCUGAGAGGGCGACCGGCGACAUUGGGACUGAGAUACGGCACAAACUCCUACGGGAGGCAGCAGUGGGGAAUAUUGCACAAUGGACGGAAGUCUGAUGCAGCAACGCCGCGUGCGGGAUGACGGCCUUCGGGUUGUAAACCGCUUUCAAUUGUGACGAAGCUUUUUUGUGACGGUAGCAGUAGAAGAAGCACCGGCUAACUACGUG